UGGGGUUCGAAACUAGCAUUUCAGGCACUGUGCCCCACACUCGGCUUCAUGGCUCACCAGCCUGCCAGGUGGACACGCCCAGUCUCGCUCUUCCUGUCUCCACCCACUGUGUGUGUGCACCUGCCAUGUGCCAGGGGGCACGGAGGGGCACAAGUUGUGUUUCCAUCGCCUAGAUUUCCCCAGCUCAUGGUGGAGAUGGACACAUCCAAAACUCUGAUCUGAGAUGAGUCUCCUUGGUAUCUGAAGGAUGUCCUUCCUCUCUGGGUCUAGAACUCUGGAGUGACAGCUCUUUUCUUCCAGCACCGUAAACACGUUGCUCCCUUGUCUUCUGGAGCCCAUCAUUUCUGCUGAAAAAUAAUCUUAUUGUCCCCUUGAAGGAUGGUCCCUGAAACGUAAGGGACCCGACAGCCACCACGGCGAGGAAGGCGCAGAAGGGGCAGCACGGAGCCGUGAGCCACAGAGAUGCUGCAGCCUGGACCAGCCAUCAUCAGACAGGCGUGUGCCGUCAGCGCUCAACGUGUGAGAAAGCACAGAGCCAGGCCCUUCCCAAGACCCCACUAUGAACCCGAUUGCUUCGGCCUGGCUGCCUUCCUCCAAAGGGGUGCAGGCGGGGCCCACGGGACCCCAGUUCUCUAGUCUCGCCUGACUCUAGGCAGAACUCUAGUGGCUCUGAUCUCUGGGCAGAACUGACUCAAGAGCCACUGAAGAGACCUUCGCCUGGGGUCCUAGACUGGGCUGCAAGGAGUCUUUGAAUCUCUUGAGAUUGUGCACUAAGUAUUUACCUGCACGCAUUUUUCCAGGAAGAGGGCCUGCGGCUUGCAUCAUAUCCCCACCGUGGUCUGUGACCAAGAAAGUAGUCAGCAUCUUUAGGCUAGAGGAGGCGGGAGCCCCGGAUUCCAAUCGCAGUUCUCCCUGGCUGUGUGAGCUUGAUUUGUCCUUUCUCUCUCUGAGCCCUGAUUCUGCCUCUUUUCUGCAAGGACCUUGAUCGCUGGGGGCGGCAGGGCUCUGUCUGCUGAACCCCAGAUCCCUCUGCACUUUCCCUGCUCUGCUCAGUAGCGUGGGGCACUGGCCCAGCAAAGUUCAUUUCCAGGUUCUUGUUGUGUUCUGACCCUGAGAGGCUCUGGCCGGGACUGGGAGGGUGGGAGGGUGGGAGGCCCAGGUAUCUGCCCACAUCUCUGCUUCAGGCACCAGCUCUGGCAGGGGCGGCCUCUGUAGUUCACUUCCUACAGGUGGCCCCUUCUUCCACGGGGCCCCCAAGGGGUGCGAAUCUCACCCUCCAUACACCUCUUUUUGGACCCUCUGUGUAUUAAACUCCCUAAGGAGCCACCUGACGUGAGCUCUGGAGCCUGAGCCGUGGCUGAUAACCAGCCUGGACCCCCUGUUGCGGAGCCCCUUCUGGACCAGUGCGCCUGGGAAAUGCUGAGCCAGUUCCAGCCUAGCACACAAUAAAAGGCCCGGGAGACCCAUCAGGACUGGGCAGAGCCCAUGCAGAAGAAGGAGUUCUGUGCGAACAAAUCAGAAACGGGCAAGGACACACCCCGGCAGUCUCUACUGGUUAGGAACAUUCAUGGGAAGUAUGUUUCUAGUUCCCCCACAAAGCUCCCCAGGGCCCCAGCAUGUCCUGGGGAUGCCACAGCUCCUGGGCAGAGCCUGCAGGGAGUGGGCAGCUGAGUUGGCCCAAGCACCAAUGCAUGAAUCAUCCUAGAGGCAUCCCAGGAGCCCACAGCCAGGAGCCAAAAUCGGGGGGCUGCAGCUGGGACCCCUCUCCCGUGAACUGCCCCUGCCAGGCCUUUUUGGCCUCACUUUAUCUGCCUGUCCAGUGGGCACAACCACCUUGCUGGGACAGGCGUGUCUGCCCCACCAGCAGGUCCAUCCUAACAGCCUCUGACUCCUGUCAACUCACCACAAACGGGUUUCCUCCACCUCAGUGACUCUGUGAUUUGGAAACCAAAUAAAUGUGAAACCGUCUCUGUUGGCAUUGCACAGAGCGCUG
This 1993-nucleotide long non-coding RNA is filed under the name Homo sapiens (human). Its description in RNAcentral is "HSALNT0156499". Lineage: Eukaryota; Metazoa; Chordata; Mammalia; Primates; Hominidae. The record is from RNAcentral.